CCUGGCUCAGGAUGAACGCUAGCUACAGGCUUAACACAUGCAAGUCGAGGGGCAGCAUGAACUUAGCUUGCUAAGUUUGAUGGCGGCCGGCGCACGGGUGAGUAACACGUAUCCAACCUUCCGUUUACUCAGGGAUAGCCUUUCGAAAGAAAGAUUAAUACCUGAUAGUAUGGUGAGAUUGCAUGAUGGCACCAUUAAAGAUUUAUUGGUAAACGAUGGGGAUGCGUUCCAUUAGGUAGUAGGCGGGGUAACGGCCCACCUAGCCGGCGAUGGAUAGGGGUUCUGAGAGGAAGGUCCCCCACAUUGGAACUGAGACACGGUCCAAACUCCUACGGGAGGCAGCAGUGAGGAAUAUUGGUCAAUGGGCGAGAGCCUGAACCAGCCAAGUAGCGUGAAGGAUGAAGGUCCUACGGAUUGUAAACUUCUUUUAUACGGGAAUAAAGUUUCCUACGUGUAGGAUUUGUAUGUACCGUAUGAAUAAGCAUCGGCUAACUCCGUGCCAGCAGCCGCGGUAAUACGGAGGAUGCGAGCGUUAUCCGGAUUUAUUGGGUUUAAAGGGAGCGCAGACGGGAGAUUAAGUCAGUUGUGAAAGUUUGCGGCUCAACCGUAAAAUGCAGUUGAUACUGGUUUCCUUGAGUGCAGUUGAGGCAGGCGGAAUUCGUGGUGUAGCGGUGAAAUGCUUAGAUAUCACGAAGAACCCCGAUUGCGAAGGCAGCUUGCUAAACUGUAACUGACGUUCAUGCUCGAAAGUGUGGGUAUCAAACAGGAUUAGAUACCCUGGUAGUCCACACGGUAAACGAUGGAUACUCGCUGUUGGCGAUAUACUGUCAGCGGCCAAGCGAAAGCAUUAAGUAUCCCACCUGGGGAGUACGCCGGCAACGGUGAAACUCAAAGGAAUUGACGGGGGCCCGCACAAGCGGAGGAACAUGUGGUUUAAUUCGAUGAUACGCGAGGAACCUUACCCGGGCUUAAAUUGCAGACGAAUUACGAGGAAACUUGUAAGCCGCAAGGCGUCUGUGAAGGUGCUGCAUGGUUGUCGUCGGCUCGUGCCGUGAGGUGUCGGCUUAAGUGCCAUAACGAGCGCAACCCUCGUGGUCAGUUACUAACAGGUUAAGCUGAGGACUCUGGCCAGACUGCCAUCGUAAGAUGUGAGGAAGGUGGGGAUGACGUCAAAUCAGCACGGCCCUUACGUC
RNAcentral lists this ribosomal RNA (1193 nucleotides) under uncultured bacterium. Its description in RNAcentral is "bacterial SSU rRNA". It matches the Rfam family "Bacterial small subunit ribosomal RNA", at positions 18 to 1208 of the family's 1533-position model. The record is from RNAcentral.